GUAUGUGGCUCAGUGGUAGAGUGCUUGCCUAGCACGUAUGAGGCACUGGGUUCAGCACUCAGCACCACAUAAUAAACAAAUAAAUAAAAUAAAAGUAUUGUGUCUAUCUUGGGCUGGGGAUGUGUCUCAAGCGGUAGCGCGCUAGCCUGGCAUGUGUGCGGCCCGGGUUCGAUCCUCAGCACCACAUACA
Molecule: transfer RNA, 190 nt
Filed under: Marmota monax (woodchuck)
Lineage: Eukaryota; Metazoa; Chordata; Mammalia; Rodentia; Sciuridae
Description: tRNA.Ala
Source: RNAcentral